RNAcentral lists this long non-coding RNA (683 nucleotides) under Amborella trichopoda. Its description in RNAcentral is "long non-coding RNA (ATRI_LNC003068)". Lineage: Eukaryota; Viridiplantae; Streptophyta; Magnoliopsida; Amborellales; Amborellaceae. The record is from RNAcentral.
UCCAAAAGCCACGAUUCAGCCCAUAAAUAUCAAGGCUGGCACAGUAAGAGAGAGAGAGAGGAGGGGGGUAGAGAGAGAGAGAGAGAGAGAGAAGAAAUAAUAGUAUUAUAUAAGUAAGAGAGAGUAUUGUACGUACGCGUAAGAAAGUAAAGUAGUAGUUACGACCAACCAACCUACCUCCUCGACAACUACAANNNNNNNNNNNNNNNNNNNNACGUAACCGUAACCGUACGUAACCGUAACCGUAACCGUAACCGUAACGUAACGUAACGUAACGUAACGACGAACGACGACGUACGACGACGACGAGAGAGAGAGAGAGAGAGAGAGAGAGAGAGAGAGAGAGAGAGAGAGAGAGAGAGAGAGGAAAAUAAAAUGAAUUAUUCUAGAAAAUGAGAGAAUUUGCUAACGCUGAAGAAAAAUGAUUUGCACCAAACACUCCCUGCAAAUCACAAACUAGUGAUCCUUCCUGCAAAGAAAGACAAAUGGUUACUUCUUUUAAAAAAAACAGAUAAGACACAGAUCUACAAAAUCCAUAAAUUAAAUAUCACAUAUGCUUGCCACUAUGGAAUCAAAUUAAGAGAAGACUAAGGGCCAGCUUCUCGCCAGUAAACAAGUGUUAUAAUGAUAAAAAAUAAACAGUAAACACAUGUUCUAAUAUCUUAAGUCCACACAUAAAAACA